Long non-coding RNA from Megalobrama amblycephala (Wuchang bream), 351 nucleotides. RefSeq lists it as uncharacterized. The transcript is spliced from 3 exons. Lineage: Eukaryota; Metazoa; Chordata; Actinopteri; Cypriniformes; Xenocyprididae. The record is from RefSeq and is a predicted model, not a curated record.
GAUUUACCACUAUCAAGGGAACCCAAGAUGCAGAAGAUCCCGACUGCAGCAACAAUCAACAGAGAUCCAGCAGAGAUCAACACUACAUACAAUAAAGAUGCAGAAGAUCCCGAAUAGAGUUAUAAUUAUCACAGAUCCAGCAGAGAUCAACACUAUCAGAGAGACUGAGACUGGAGGAGCUGAAGGAGAGGAAAAGAGAGACAGUCAUUAAUGUGAGUGAAUGUGUAAAUAAUCACAUAUAUCAGCUCUGUUGUACCUGCACAUGUGUGACAGAGUUGAGUGAUGUCCAGAUGUUGAGUCUGGUUGCUGAUGGGAUUGUUCAGCACACAGCUGUAGGUGUUUUUAUCCUGA